Molecule: long non-coding RNA, 351 nt
Filed under: Calidris pugnax (ruff)
Lineage: Eukaryota; Metazoa; Chordata; Aves; Charadriiformes; Scolopacidae
Description: lncRNA (ENSCPUG00000009104.1)
Source: RNAcentral
GCACUACAUAUUUAAGAUUGUCUCUUGAGAAAAUUUUACGGACAAAUAUUACAGAACAUGAGGCAGAUGUUUACGAUCUCUAAUUCCAACAAAGAAAUUGUGUUGGAUUGAGGAAAGGACUAGGACACCUGAAACAUCAUUGCCUAGAGCGGAACUCCUGGCAGCAUCCAGCCUUCACUGGAGGAAGCACAAGACUUUCGUGCUUUCAGAGUAAAUAUGUCAUGGAACUGAGAAACGUGGACAUGUACUCCUUGACAUAAGCUUGAAGAAGCUUAAUGAGCCUCCCAUCCCUCUUUGUCAGGAUGCACAAAAAAUGUUAGAAGUAAUUGAGAUACCUCCAAAGAGCUACAA